GUUCCUCGGGGACAUCCAAUAAAAUUGGAACGAAUGUGAGAAGAUUAACAUGGGCCAUAUGUAAGGAUCACACGCACAAAUCGAGAAACUGUAACCUAUACU
This is a small nuclear RNA of Salvia splendens (bonfire salvia), 102 nucleotides long. NCBI's taxonomy places the organism in Eukaryota, Viridiplantae, Streptophyta, Magnoliopsida, Lamiales, Lamiaceae. The record is from RefSeq and is a predicted model, not a curated record.